RNAcentral lists this ribosomal RNA (301 nucleotides) under uncultured bacterium. RNAcentral's name for it is "partial 16S ribosomal RNA". It matches the Rfam family "Bacterial small subunit ribosomal RNA", at positions 509 to 807 of the family's 1533-position model. The record is from RNAcentral.
CAGCCGCCGCGGUAAUACAGAGGGUGCGAGCGUUAAUCGGAUUUACUGGGCGUAAAGCGUGCGUAGGCGGCUUUUUAAGUCGGAUGUGAAAUCCCUGAGCUUAACUUAGGAAUUGCAUUCGAUACUGGGAAGCUAGAUUAUGGGAGAGGAUGGUAGAAUUCCAGGUGUAGCGGUGAAAUGCGUAGAGAUCUGGAGGAAUACCGAUGGCGAAGGCAGCCAUCUGGCCUAAUACUGACGCUGAGGUACGAAAGCAUGGGGAGCAAACAGGAUUAGAUACCCCGGUAGUCCCUGUCUCUUAUAC